GGUUACACUGCUAACUAGUUGAUAUUGUGUGAUGCUAAUUUAAGUUGGUCCACUCCAUCACUCCAUGGUGUAUUUAGUAGUAAAUUAGUAAUAAUAUUUAUAUAUGUGGUCAGAUAAUAUUGUUUUAUGGAGUUUGAUUUUCUGUUUGCAGUAAAUGUUCUUAACUGUCUCAUGGAAGUUUGUUAUUGCGUUUGGAUCUUUUAAAUUGUUGCAAGUUGAAGUCCUUUUAGUUUUUUCGGUUUGUGCAGGUGCUUUAUGCG
Molecule: unclassified non-coding RNA, 260 nt
Filed under: Hevea brasiliensis (rubber tree)
Lineage: Eukaryota; Viridiplantae; Streptophyta; Magnoliopsida; Malpighiales; Euphorbiaceae
Source: RNAcentral